RNAcentral lists this ribosomal RNA (497 nucleotides) under uncultured bacterium. RNAcentral's name for it is "partial 16S ribosomal RNA". It matches the Rfam family "Bacterial small subunit ribosomal RNA", at positions 28 to 507 of the family's 1533-position model. The record is from RNAcentral.
GAUGAACGCUGGCGGCGUGCCUAAUACAUGCAAGUCGAGCGAACGGACGAGAAGCUUGCUUUUCUGUUGUUAGCGGCGGACGGGUGAGUAACACGUGGAUAACCUCCCUAUAAGACUGGGAUAACUUCGGGAAACGGGAGCUAAUACCGGAUAAUAUUUUGAACCGCAUGGUUCAAGAGUGAAUGACGGUCUUGCUGUCACUUAUAGAUGGAUCCGCGCUGCAUUAGCUAGUUGGUAAGGUAACGGCUUACCAAGGCAACGAUGCAUAGCCGACCGGAGAGGGUGGUAGCCCACCCUGGAGCGGAGACAGGGUCCAGAGUCCUGCGGGAGGCAGCAGUCGGGAAUCGGCCGCAAUGGGGGAGAGCCUGACGGAACAACGCGGCGUGAGUGAUGAAGGUCCCCGGAUCGGAAAGCUGUGUUAUUGGGGGAGAACAGAUGUGUAAUUAGCUGUGGAGAUAUUGACGGUACCUGAUCAAGAAGCCACGGCUAACUACGUG